Molecule: non-coding RNA, 1355 nt
Organism: Coffea arabica (coffee)
Lineage: Eukaryota; Viridiplantae; Streptophyta; Magnoliopsida; Gentianales; Rubiaceae
Source: RefSeq, a predicted model, not a curated record
AGAAGAACAGGUUCAAAAAUGAAGAUCACACUUGUGUCUUCGAUAACAUUCCUUCCUUUUGAUCUAUGAACUGGCUAUGCUACAGGGCUCCCCCGUGGCCGCGGUGUCUAUAAGAGAUCCACCUCCGCCGUCAUCAAACCCCAAAGCCCGGUUCAAGAUGAAGACAGCUGAUACCAGUAUGUCUCAUGAUCAUGUACGAAGUGGCAGGCUUAGACGGUGGAUACACAGGCAUUGCUUCUGCAAUUGCCGGGGCAAUAUUACCUCCUCAAGUAGGUGUUUCGGCUAUGCCUGGUAGAGCUCCAUCACCACCCCCCAAGAGCCGUGAUCCUGCUCAUCCUUUCAUAUCUCCUAAUUGCCCACCACCGGUACUACCACAUUGCUAGUUGCCAGAGCUUUGAGCUAUCUAUCUUGAAAUCUCAACCUUCACAUCUGCCAUAUCAAAUACUCGACCUUUCAGUUUCACUACCUAAUUACCAUUUGUCGUCUUCUUCUACAUGUCAAAGUCUGAGCAGUUGUAACAUUACCAUUAUCUCUACUUAGUACUUGCAUUAUGUGUUGAAUGCGUCAGAGUUUCCUAGCUGCUUCCCACCUACUAAUAUGUCAUUUAUCAAUGCUAAUCGCUUUACUGGUCUGGCAACCAACCGACAUAUGAUAUGAGGCAACGCUUUCUUCUCCUCAAACUCAUAGAACUAGGAUUGAUAUCCUCCUCCUGAUUGUUACUAGCUUUUUCGCUUCAAUAUUCAAGGGUGUGUUUUCUCCACCCAUGAGAAAAGUUCAUCAUUAUUUGCUUAGCUUGCUUUUGAUCCAUGAAAUCCUGCUGAUUCAGCAGGGAUGUGUGAACAAAGCCUAUGUCGCCUUGGCAGCAGCAAGAGUUUUAGAAGAACCCUUCUCAGCUUUGGCUUUUGAUGCACCGCCUUCUUUUUCCCACGAUGCUCUGUCUCACUAUGAUUUCAGGGCAGCACUGCGAGGGCGAACUAGGAGACCUAGGCUUUCUCCACCAUCUCCAGUUAUCAAUAUCCCUAUUCAUUUCAAGAGUCCACCACCGUCGCCUCCAUCUCAUCCACCGCCGUCGCCGCCACUAGCACCGGCACCGCCGCCACCAUGUUAAAUUGUUUAUGUAUGUUGGUUGGAACAGUCAGAACUAUAUAUGUAUCCAGAAGUGCACCCAUGUAUUGCUUCAAACAAAAUCAUCGGGCUCUUAUUAGUGCUUUGAUCUCCCUGUGUCUUUCUUAAUUUCCAAUAAAAAUUGAAACACUGGCUCCUAGUGUUAAUAAUUAUCACUUCAAUCUGUAUGUCGUAGCAGUUUUUACAUUACUUAAUUAUAUGAUAUUCCUUUUUUCAAGUUUUGUGGUGGA